RNAcentral lists this ribosomal RNA (492 nucleotides) under uncultured bacterium. RNAcentral describes it as "partial 16S ribosomal RNA". It matches the Rfam family "Bacterial small subunit ribosomal RNA", at positions 29 to 507 of the family's 1533-position model. The record is from RNAcentral.
AGUGAACGCUGGCGGUAGGCCUAACACAUGCAAGUCGAACGGCAGCACAGUAAGAGCUUGCUCUAAUGGGUGGCGAGUGGCGGACGGGUGAGGACUACAUCGGAAUCUACUCUCUCGUGGGGGAUAACGUAGGGAAACUCACGCUAAUACCGCACACGACCUACGGGUGAAAGAAGGGUAUCUUUGGACCUUGCGCGAUUGAAUCAGCCGAUGUCGGAUUUGCUAGUUGGAGGGGUCAAGGCCCACAAAGGCGACGUUCCGUAGCUGGUCUGAGAGGAUGAUCAGCCACACUGGGAGUGAGACACGGACCAGAGUCCUACGGAAGGCAGCAAUGGAGAUUAUUGGACAAGGGGCGCAAGCCUGAUGCAGCCGUACCGCGUGGGUGUAGAAGGCCGUCGGGUGGUAAAGCCCUUUUGUUGGGAAAUAAAAGCAGCAGGUUAAUACCCCGCGGUUCUGACGGUACCCAAAGAAUAAGCACCGGCUAACUUCGUG